CGGGGUGUAGCGCAGUUUGGUUUAGCGCACUACCUUGGGGUGGUAGGGGCCGCCAGUUCGAAUCUGGCCACCCCGA
Molecule: transfer RNA, 76 nt
Filed under: Spirochaetota bacterium
Lineage: Bacteria; Pseudomonadati; Spirochaetota
Description: Spirochaetes bacterium (hot springs metagenome) tRNA-Pro
Rfam family: tRNA
About the family: Transfer RNA (tRNA) molecules are approximately 80 nucleotides in length.
Source: RNAcentral